AGUGAACGCUGGCGGUAGGCCUAACACAUGCAAGUCGAACGGCAGCACAGGAGAGCUUGCUCUCUGGGUGGCGAGUGGCGGACGGGUGAGGAAUACAUCGGAAUCUACUCUGUCGUGGGGGAUAACGUAGGGAAACUUACGCUAAUACCGCAUACGACCUACGGGUGAAAGCAGGGGAGCUUCGGGCCUUGCGCGAUUGAAUGAGUCGAUGUCGGAUUAGCUAGUUGGCGGGGUAAAGGCCCACCAAGGCGACGAGCCGUAGCUGGUCUGAGAGGAUGAUCAGCCACACUGGAGCUGAGACACGGUCCAGACUCCUACGGGAGGCAGCAGUGGGGAAUAUUGGACAAUGGGCGCAAGCCUGAUCCAGCCAUACCGCGUGGGUGAAGAAGGCCUUCGGGUUGUAAAGCCCUUUUGUUGGGAAAGAAAUCCAGCUGGCUAAUACCCGGUUGGGAUGACGGUACCCAAAGAAUAAGCACCGGCUAACUUCGUGCCAGCAGCCGCGGUAA
RNAcentral lists this ribosomal RNA (506 nucleotides) under uncultured bacterium. RNAcentral describes it as "partial 16S ribosomal RNA". It matches the Rfam family "Bacterial small subunit ribosomal RNA", at positions 29 to 523 of the family's 1533-position model. The record is from RNAcentral.